This 2926-nucleotide ribosomal RNA is filed under the name Klebsiella oxytoca. RNAcentral describes it as "23S ribosomal RNA". It matches the Rfam family "Bacterial large subunit ribosomal RNA". Lineage: Bacteria; Pseudomonadati; Pseudomonadota; Gammaproteobacteria; Enterobacterales; Enterobacteriaceae. The record is from RNAcentral.
GGGUUGUGAGGUUAAGCGACUAAGCGUACACGGUGGAUGCCCUGGCAGUCAGAGGCGAUGAAGGACGUGCUAAUCUGCGAAAAGCGUCGGUAAGGUGAUAUGAACCGUUAUAACCGGCGAUGUCCGAAUGGGGAAACCCAGUGCAAUUCGUUGCACUAUCGUUAACUGAAUACAUAGGUUAACGAGGCGAACCGGGGGAACUGAAACAUCUAAGUACCCCGAGGAAAAGAAAUCAACCGAGAUUCCCCCAGUAGCGGCGAGCGAACGGGGAGCAGCCCGGAGUCUGAAUCAGCUUGUGUGUUAGUGGAAGCGUCUGGAAAGUCGCAGGGUACAGGGUGAUACUCCCGUACACUAAAACACACAGGUUGUGAACUCGAAGAGUAGGGCGGGACACGUGGUAUCCUGUCUGAAUAUGGGGGGACCAUCCUCCAAGGCUAAAUACUCCUGACUGACCGAUAGUGAACCAGUACCGUGAGGGAAAGGCGAAAAGAACCCCGGCGAGGGGAGUGAAAAAGAACCUGAAACCGUGUACGUACAAGCAGUAGGAGCCCACUAGUUGGGUGACUGCGUACCUUUUGUAUAAUGGGUCAGCGACUUAUAUUCUGUAGCAAGGUUAACCGAAUAGGGGAGCCGCAGGGAAACCGAGUCUUAACUGGGCGUUAAGUUGCAGGGUAUAGACCCGAAACCCGGUGAUCUAGCCAUGGGCAGGUUGAAGGUUGGGUAACACUAACUGGAGGACCGAACCGACUAAUGUUGAAAAAUUAGCGGAUGACUUGUGGCUGGGGGUGAAAGGCCAAUCAAACCGGGAGAUAGCUGGUUCUCCCCGAAAGCUAUUUAGGUAGCGCCUCGUGAACUCAUCUUCGGGGUAGAGCACUGUUUCGGCUAGGGGGUCAUCCCGACUUACCAACCCGAUGCAAACUACGAAUACCGAAGAAUGUUAUCACGGGAGACACACGGCGGGUGCUAACGUCCGUCGUGAAGAGGGAAACAACCCAGACCGCCAGCUAAGGUCCCAAAGUCAUGGUUAAGUGGGAAACGAUGUGGGAAGGCCCAGACAGCCAGGAUGUUGGCUUAGAAGCAGCCAUCAUUUAAAGAAAGCGUAAUAGCUCACUGGUCGAGUCGGCCUGCGCGGAAGAUGUAACGGGGCUAAACCAUGCACCGAAGCUGCGGCAGCGACACUAUGUGUUGUUGGGUAGGGGAGCGUUCUGUAAGCCGUUGAAGGUGGCCUGUGAGGGUUGCUGGAGGUAUCAGAAGUGCGAAUGCUGACAUAAGUAACGAUAAUGCGGGUGAAAAACCCGCACGCCGGAAGACCAAGGGUUCCUGUCCAACGUUAAUCGGGGCAGGGUGAGUCGACCCCUAAGGCGAGGCCGAAAGGCGUAGUCGAUGGGAAACAGGUUAAUAUUCCUGUACUUGGUGUUACUGCGAAGGGGGGACGGAGAAGGCUAUGUUGGCCGGGCGACGGUUGUCCCGGUUUAAGCAUGUAGGCGGAUGUUCCAGGUAAAUCCGGAACGUUACUAACGCUGAGGUGUGAUGACGAGGCACUACGGUGCUGAAGUGACAAAUGCCCUGCUUCCAGGAAAAGCCUCUAAGCAUCAGGUAACAUCAAAUCGUACCCCAAACCGACACAGGUGGUCAGGUAGAGAAUACCAAGGCGCUUGAGAGAACUCGGGUGAAGGAACUAGGCAAAAUGGUGCCGUAACUUCGGGAGAAGGCACGCUGAUGGUAGGUGAAGUGACUUGCUCAUGGAGCUGAAAUCAGUCGAAGAUACCAGCUGGCUGCAACUGUUUAUUAAAAACACAGCACUGUGCAAACACGAAAGUGGACGUAUACGGUGUGACGCCUGCCCGGUGCCGGAAGGUUAAUUGAUGGGGUUAUCCUCGCGGAGAAGCUCUUGAUCGAAGCCCCGGUAAACGGCGGCCGUAACUAUAACGGUCCUAAGGUAGCGAAAUUCCUUGUCGGGUAAGUUCCGACCUGCACGAAUGGCGUAAUGAUGGCCAGGCUGUCUCCACCCGAGACUCAGUGAAAUUGAACUCGCUGUGAAGAUGCAGUGUACCCGCGGCAAGACGGAAAGACCCCGUGAACCUUUACUAUAGCUUGACACUGAACACUGGUCCUUGAUGUGUAGGAUAGGUGGGAGGCUUUGAAGUGUGGACGCCAGUCUGCAUGGAGCCGUCCUUGAAAUACCACCCUUUAAUGGCUGGUGUUCUAACGUGGGCCCCUAAUCGGGGUUGCGGACAGUGUCUGGUGGGUAGUUUGACUGGGGCGGUCUCCUCCUAAAGAGUAACGGAGGAGCACGAAGGUCAGCUAAUCCUGGUCGGACAUCAGGAGGUUAGUGCAAUGGCAUAAGCUGGCUUGACUGCGAGCGUGACGGCGCGAGCAGGUGCGAAAGCAGGUCAUAGUGAUCCGGUGGUUCUGAAUGGAAGGGCCAUCGCUCAACGGAUAAAAGGUACUCCGGGGAUAACAGGCUGAUACCGCCCAAGAGUUCAUAUCGACGGCGGUGUUUGGCACCUCGAUGUCGGCUCAUCACAUCCUGGGGCUGAAGUAGGUCCCAAGGGUAUGGCUGUUCGCCAUUUAAAGUGGUACGCGAGCUGGGUUUAGAACGUCGUGAGACAGUUCGGUCCCUAUCUGCCGUGGGCGCUGGAGAAUUGAGGGGGGCUGCUCCUAGUACGAGAGGACCGGAGUGGACGCAUCACUGGUGUUCGGGUUGUCAUGCCAAUGGCAUUGCCCGGUAGCUAAAUGCGGAAGAGAUAAGUGCUGAAAGCAUCUAAGCACGAAACUUGCCCCGAGAUGAGUUCUCCCUGACCCUUUAAGGGUCCUGAAGGAACGUUGAAGACGACGACGUUGAUAGGCCGGGUGUGUAAGCGCAGCGAUGCGUUGAGCUAACCGGUACUAAUGAACCGUGAGGCUUAACCUUACAACGCCGAAG